CAAUAACAACCGUACAAUAACAAUUGGUGUUAUAAUUAUAUAAUCCACUAGCUUUUAGAGAAGCAAAUAACUUAAAUUCCAAAUGCGGAGUGAAAUAAGAACGGAAUGAGCUUUGUGUUAGACUGCUAUCCAACUCCGUAAUUAUAAGCUAAUUGGUUUCCAAACAGUGUAUAGUCUGAGCCAAAGCUUCGGCCCGCCAUGAGUGUGAGGCCCAACAGCUGAUAUCAAUUAUCAAGUCGUUUGAAUAGUCCCACAUCGGCUAAAGUACUCAUAAGUCUCAGGUUUUUAUACUGUUUGCUUCAAUGAUCAAUCGUCUCUUCGGAGACAUCCGAUAAAAUUGGAACGAUACAGAGAAGAUUAGCAUGGCCCCUGCGCAAGGAUGACACGCACAAAUCGAGAAAUGGUCCAAAUUUUUUUGGCGAUUCUGGGUUCAGUCUCCUUUUCGCCCUGCAUCAGUUACAACUUUCUUCAGGGAGAAAAAUAACUGUGGUUGUCUUGGAUCAGAUUGAAAGAAGCUUCUUGGAGGGUGUUUAACGUUACAUUAACAGAGCCAACAUUUGCGUUGACAAAGAACAAUCAGAACAGGGUUAUGGCCAACCUACACGCGUAAUCUCUUCGUGGUUACCAUGUAACUCUAUCAAUGAAGCUUCUUGAUCACCAGAACCAUCAUGGGUGCAGUUGUUCUCUUUUUCACUGCGGGUGUUCGCGUAUUUCUUGAUACAUCAAUAUCGGUCCCUACCUGGCAACAUGAGCUGCUUUGGUAGAACACCUGCAUUAAUUGAAGGAGAGCUCUGACUAAGCUUUACACUUUACGAUGAAUGAUACGCUGAGUUUUGCCGAAUUCCUGUUCAGAUAGAUGUACGUAUCAAAGCUAUGUUCUAAUCGAUUGUUGUUUUAGAUAAAAGCUUCGAGUGGUUCAGAUUCUCUGGAAACAUAAACCUUCUUUUGAGGGGAAAUGUAUUUAAAUUGGCAAGUGUUAGCAACCAUAUUUCUAUUUCUGA
Molecule: long non-coding RNA, 1001 nt
Organism: Asparagus officinalis (garden asparagus)
Lineage: Eukaryota; Viridiplantae; Streptophyta; Magnoliopsida; Asparagales; Asparagaceae
Exons: 3
Source: RefSeq, a predicted model, not a curated record